This is a non-coding RNA of Hordeum vulgare subsp. vulgare (domesticated barley), 134 nucleotides long. NCBI's taxonomy places the organism in Eukaryota, Viridiplantae, Streptophyta, Magnoliopsida, Poales, Poaceae. The record is from Rfam.
CAACUAGUCCUUCCGUCCAAAAUUCUUGUCUUUGGUUUGUUUAAAAAUAGAUGUAUCUAAAUAGUAAAAUGUGACUAGAUACAUUCAUAUCUAGACAAAUAUAAGACAAGAAUUUGAGACGGAGGGAGUAGUAC